RNAcentral lists this ribosomal RNA (259 nucleotides) under uncultured bacterium. RNAcentral describes it as "partial 16S ribosomal RNA". It matches the Rfam family "Bacterial small subunit ribosomal RNA", at positions 524 to 776 of the family's 1533-position model. The record is from RNAcentral.
UACGAAGGGGGCUAGCGUUGCUCGGAAUCACUGGGCGUAAAGGGUGCGUAGGCGGGUCUUUUAAGUCAGGGGGUGAAAUCCUGGAGCUCAACUCCAGAACUGCCUUUGAUACUGAAGAUCUUGAGUUCGGGAGAGGUGAGUGGAACUGCGAGUGUAGAGGUGAAAUUCGUAGAUAUUCGCAAGAACACCAGUGGCGAAGGCGGCUCACGUGGCCCGAGUACUGACGCAUGAGGUGGCGAAAGCGUGGGGAGCAAACAGG